RNAcentral lists this ribosomal RNA (402 nucleotides) under uncultured bacterium. RNAcentral describes it as "bacterial SSU rRNA". It matches the Rfam family "Bacterial small subunit ribosomal RNA", at positions 135 to 518 of the family's 1533-position model. The record is from RNAcentral.
AGGGGGAGUAACGAUCCGGAAACGGGUGCUAAUACCGCAUAGUUUUCUUGAUCGCAUGAUUGAGAAAGGAAAGACGGCCUUUGUGCUGUCGCUUAUGGAUGGACCCGCGGCGUAUUAGUUAGUUGGUGAGGUAACGGCUCACCAAGACGAUGAUACGUAGCCGACCUGAGAGGGUGAUCGGCCACAUUGGGACUGAGACACGGCCCAAACUCCUACGGGAGGCAGCAGUAGGGAAUCUUCCGCAAUGGACGAAAGUCUGACGGAGCAACGCCGCGUGAGUGAAGAAAAGGUUUUUCGGAUCGUAAAACUCUGUUGUCAGAGAAGAACAAGUUGGAGAGUAACUGCUCCAGCCUUGACGGUAUCUGACCAGAAAGCCACGGCUAACUACGUGCCAGCCGCCGC